Molecule: transfer RNA, 72 nt
Filed under: Hypoxylon rubiginosum
Lineage: Eukaryota; Fungi; Ascomycota; Sordariomycetes; Xylariales; Hypoxylaceae
Description: tRNA-OTHER
Rfam family: tRNA
About the family: Transfer RNA (tRNA) molecules are approximately 80 nucleotides in length. Their secondary structure includes four short double-helical elements and three loops (D, anti-codon, and T loops). Further hydrogen bonds mediate the characteristic L-shaped molecular structure. tRNAs have two regions of fundamental functional importance: the anti-codon, which is responsible for specific mRNA codon recognition, and the 3' end, to which the tRNAs corresponding amino acid is attached (by aminoacyl-tRNA synthetases). tRNAs cope with the degeneracy of the genetic code in two manners: having more than one tRNA (with a specific anti-codon) for a particular amino acid; and 'wobble' base-pairing, i.e. permitting non-standard base-pairing at the 3rd anti-codon position.
Source: RNAcentral
GCAUAUGUAGCUCAACUGGUAAGAGCGCGAGAAUAUAACCUCAGGUUCCGGGUUCGAGUCCUGGCGUAUGCU